ACUCCUACGGGAGGCAGCAGUGGGGAAUAUUGCACAAUGGGCGCAAGCCUGAUGCAGCAACGCCGUGUGAGUGAAGAAGGUUUUCGGAUCGUAAAACUCUGUCCUAAGGGAAGAAACAAAUGACGGUACCUUAGGAGGAAGCCCCGGCUAACUACGUGCCAGCAGCCGCGGUAAUACGGAGGGUGCGAGCGUUAAUCGGAAUUACUGGGCGUAAAGCGCAUGCAGGCGGCCUGUUAAGUCAGAUGUGAAAGCCCGGGGCUUAACCUCGGAAUUGCAUUUGAAACUGGCAGGCUAGAGUCUUGUAGAGGGGGGUAGAAUUUCAGGUGUAGCGGUGAAAUGCGUAGAGAUCUGAAGGAAUACCAGUGGCGAAGGCGGCCCCCUGGACAAAGACUGACGCUCAGAUGCGAAAGCGUGGGGAGCAAACAGGAUUAGAUACCCUGGUAGCACAGAG
This 451-nucleotide ribosomal RNA is filed under the name uncultured bacterium. RNAcentral's name for it is "bacterial SSU rRNA". It matches the Rfam family "Bacterial small subunit ribosomal RNA", at positions 335 to 799 of the family's 1533-position model. The record is from RNAcentral.